This 30-nucleotide non-coding RNA is filed under the name Homo sapiens (human). Lineage: Eukaryota; Metazoa; Chordata; Mammalia; Primates; Hominidae. The record is from RNAcentral.
UAGGCAGAAGACAAUAUGAGAGGUGGUCUC